This 253-nucleotide ribosomal RNA is filed under the name uncultured bacterium. Its description in RNAcentral is "partial 16S ribosomal RNA". It matches the Rfam family "Bacterial small subunit ribosomal RNA", at positions 524 to 776 of the family's 1533-position model. The record is from RNAcentral.
UACGGAGGAUGCAAGCGUUAUCCGGAAUUAUUGGGCGUAAAGCGUCCGCAGGUGGUCAAACAAGUCUGCCGUCAAAGACCAGAGCUUAACUCUGGAAAGGCGGUGGAAACUGUAAGACUAGAGACCGGUAGGGGUAGAGGGAAUUCCCAGUGUAGCGGUGAAAUGCGUAGAGAUUGGGAAGAACACAAGUGGCGAAGGCGCUCUACUGGGCCGGUACUGACACUCAGGGACGAAAGCUAGGGGAGCGAAAGGG